AGUGCCAUAGAAAUUUCCCAGAAGUCUCUACAAAAAAAGUGUGCAUCAAUGCUCACUAUAUUGACGAAUAUAGACCACGAUGCAUAUGGCUCCUCUUGAAGUCUGGCGUCUGGCCUGCUGCAGGGGUCAGAUUCCCCCCCUCCUCCCCCUGCAGGGUUCCUGCUCAUAUGUUAAUUAGCCAGCAGUGACAAGCAAGAUGAGAGGAGUUAGAAUGAGGCCACAAAAAGACAGUUCAGCACUGAAAGACUGCUUUUUCAUUUUUUUUUUUUGUAUGUCUUUCAGUGUCGUGCGGUGAGGUUGAUGACUGGUGAGGCACCGAUUCCUCUGGAGUCAGAUUUACUAAAGAACUGAAAAUUUCACCUUUCAUCCAACGGCAGCUAACAGCUUAUAAAACACACAAGAGCAUAUUUGUCCUCCAGAGAAUAUUUCUUUUGUAGACAUGGAUAGAACACUCUUCUUGUGUAUAAAUUAUUCAUAUGUACUGAAAACAAAUUAAAGUAUACAGAUGUGUUCAGCACACAAAUUCUGGAGCUUUAUUUAAUCAGUUAUCAAUGUUGUCUGUGAAAAUGUUCAUAAAAAUAAAAUAAAUUAUCUUACUUA
Non-coding RNA from Oryzias latipes (Japanese medaka), 600 nucleotides. The record is from RefSeq and is a predicted model, not a curated record. NCBI's taxonomy places the organism in Eukaryota, Metazoa, Chordata, Actinopteri, Beloniformes, Adrianichthyidae.